RNAcentral lists this ribosomal RNA (254 nucleotides) under uncultured bacterium. RNAcentral describes it as "partial 16S ribosomal RNA". It matches the Rfam family "Bacterial small subunit ribosomal RNA", at positions 524 to 776 of the family's 1533-position model. The record is from RNAcentral.
UACAGAGGUCUCGAGCGUUGUUCGGAUUCAUUGGGCGUAAAGGGUGCGUAGGUGGCGUGGUAAGUCGGGUGUGAAAUUUCGGAGCUUAACUCCGAAACUGCAUUCGAUACUGCUGUGCUUGAGGACUGGAGAGGAGACUGGAAUUUACGGUGUAGCAGUGAAAUGCGUAGAGAUCGUAAGGAAGACCAGUGGCGAAGGCGGGUCUCGUGGACAGUUCCUGACACUGAGGCACGAAGGCCAGGGGAGCAAACGGG